This 129-nucleotide ribosomal RNA is filed under the name Eutypella sp. A61. RNAcentral describes it as "partial 5.8S ribosomal RNA". It matches the Rfam family "5.8S ribosomal RNA", at positions 30 to 154 of the family's 154-position model. Rfam says of the family: 5.8S ribosomal RNA (5.8S rRNA) is a component of the large subunit of the eukaryotic ribosome. Lineage: Eukaryota; Fungi; Ascomycota; Sordariomycetes; Xylariales; Diatrypaceae. The record is from RNAcentral.
GCAUCGAUGAAAAACGCAGCGAAAUGCGGUAUAAGUAAUGUGAAUUGCAGAAUUCAGUGAAUCAUCGAAUCUUUGAACGCACAUUGCGCCCAUUAGUAUUCUAGUGGGCAUGCCUGUUCGAGCGUCAUU